CACGGUAAGACGUUCACAUGCAACCGCAUUUGACACUAUCGCAGACACGAUAGCAUCUCCGGCGAGAAUGAAAUAAAUGGGCAAGGUGCUUAUUAUUGGGCGCAGAAUCUUUAACCGUGGCUUCGAGCCAACUAUCAACACUACUACACUUCUGGAUUACUCAAAGGAAUAAAGAUAAACCUAUUUAUUUUAAAUGGUAUUAUAUUCGGAGUUUUAUCACAUUUUUUAAAAGAAAACUCGAAAUUUAAAAUUAAAUUGAAAAGAGAUAUAAACCAGUGACUUGCAGUGCCGAUUAGAUUCGAUGUAUAAACGCGAAACUAAAUUAUGAGUGAAGUAUAAAGUACAACAACGCGUAAUGCAGAUAGAACGGAGUUAUAGGAAACCAUAUUAAAAGUUAUUCCAAAAACUUGGUCGGCGUUUCGACGCGGCGAACGAAGGAAGACGGCGAAAUGGAGGGAGAGCAUAGAUGCGCCAACUUCGGUGCCUAAUGGCCGUUUCCAGAGCUUUACUUGGAACUAUCGUCAUUUUAGUUAUAUGCAUCGACACUUAUAACGAGGGACCCUGGGACUUUUCGCUCCGUUAGUGUAAUGAUUUCACUCAAUUUUUACUUU
RNAcentral lists this unclassified non-coding RNA (611 nucleotides) under Melitaea cinxia (Glanville fritillary). RNAcentral describes it as "misc RNA ENSMCXG00005001037.1". The record is from RNAcentral. Lineage: Eukaryota; Metazoa; Arthropoda; Insecta; Lepidoptera; Nymphalidae.